Molecule: ribosomal RNA, 729 nt
Filed under: Miconia dissitinervia
Lineage: Eukaryota; Viridiplantae; Streptophyta; Magnoliopsida; Myrtales; Melastomataceae
Description: eukaryotic LSU rRNA
Rfam family: 5.8S ribosomal RNA (bases 258-413)
Source: RNAcentral
GGAUCAUUGUCGAAAUCGAACGGAAGAACGACCCGCGAAUCGUCAUUGCGUAGUAGACAGAGCCCGUGAGCACCUAACGCUCACGGGUCUCGCGUCGCGUCGGCGCGGGUGUACUCGAGACCCGCGGCGUACCGGCGGACAAACAACGUCAGCACGGAUCGUGCCAAGGAGCUGCAUGGAGAGAAUCGUCGUCCCACGCCUUUGAUAGUCCUCGACGCGGGACGGGGGAUGUACGCAAUCUCUACUCAAGUCUAAACGACUCUCGGCAACGGAUAUCUCGGCUCUUGCAUCGAUGAAGAACGUAGCGAAAUGCGAUACUUGGUGUGAAUUGCAGAAUCCCGUGAACCAUCAAUUCUUUGAACGCAAGUUGCGCCCGAAGCCAUUCGGCCGAGGGCACGCCUGCCUGGGCGUCGUGAAUCCCCUUGCCCCUAGGCACCCGCAUGAGCAUUGGCGGGGAUAUAUGCUCGGGCGCAGAAUAUGGUCUCCCGUGCGAUCGGCAUGCACGGCAUGUCGAGGUGCGGUUGGCCGAAAAUCGAGCAUGGCGGUGACGGGCACCACGACGUUCGGUGGAUCGAACGAGAUUGGCUGCGUCGUGGGCUCGGCAUGCGGCGGGCUCCGGACUUUGAAUAUCCCCGAGUGCGAUCCCAGGUCAGGCGGGGCUACCCGCUGAGUUUAAGCAUAUCAAUAAGCGGAGGAAAAGAAACUAACGAGGAUUCCCUUAGUAGCGGC